UUCCGGUUGAUCCUGCCGGACCCGACUGCUAUCGGAUUGAGAUUUAGCCAUGCGAGUCGAACGUCCCCCUGUUGCGGGGGGCGUGGCGUACGGCUCAGUAACACGUAGUCAACCUGCCCUGGAGACAAGGACAACCCCGGGAAACUGGGAUUAAUCCUUGAUAGGUCAUCUCAUCUGGAAGGAGAGAUGGCUUAAAGGGGUACGCGGGCUUCUUCCGCGAAUCUGCUCCAGGAUGGGACUGCGUCCGAUCAGGCUGUUGGCGGGGUAAUGGCCCACCAAACCUGUAACCGGUACGGGCCUUGAGAGAGGUGGCCCGGAGAUGGACACUGAGAGAAGGGUCCAGGUCCUACGGGGCGCAGCAGGCGCGAAACCUUCGCAAUGCGCGAAAGCGUGACGAGGUUAAUCCGAGUGACUCCCGCUGAGGGGGUCUUUUGUCAGCUGUAAAUAGGCAGGCGAAUAAGGGGAGGGCAAGCCUGGUGUCAGCCGCCGCGGUAAUACCAGCUCCUCGAGUGGUCGGGGCGAUUAUUGGGCCUAAAGCAUCCGUAGCCGGUUCCGUAGGUCCUCUGUUAAAUCCAACCGCUUAACGGUUGACCUGCAGAGGAUACCGCGGGACUAGGAGGCGGGAGAGGCGGACGGUACUCCGCGUGUAGGGGUAAAGUCCUUUGAUCCGCGGAAGACCACCAGUGGCGAAAGCGGUCCGCCAGAACGCGCUCGACGGUGAGGGAUGAAAGCUGGGGGAGCGAACCGGAUUAGAUACCCGGGUAGUCCCAG
This 771-nucleotide ribosomal RNA is filed under the name uncultured archaeon. RNAcentral describes it as "bacterial SSU rRNA". It matches the Rfam family "Archaeal small subunit ribosomal RNA", at positions 1 to 750 of the family's 1478-position model. The record is from RNAcentral.